UACGAAGGGGGCUAGCGUUGUUCGGAAUCACUGGGCGUAAAGGGCGCGUAGGCGGCUGUUCAAGUCGGGUGUGAAAGCCUGUGGCUCAACCACGGAAUUGCCUUCGAUACUGGACGGCUGGAGACCGGAAGAGGUCAGUGGAACUGCGAGUGUAGAGGUGAAAUUCGUAGAUAUUCGCAAGAACACCAGUGGCGAAGGCGGCUGACUGGUCCGGUUCUGACGCUGAGGCGCGAAAGCGUGGGGAGCAAACAGG
RNAcentral lists this ribosomal RNA (253 nucleotides) under uncultured bacterium. Its description in RNAcentral is "partial 16S ribosomal RNA". It matches the Rfam family "Bacterial small subunit ribosomal RNA", at positions 524 to 776 of the family's 1533-position model. The record is from RNAcentral.